AAGUCGUAACAGGGUUUCCGUAGGUGAACCUGCGGAAGGAUCAUUAACAAUUUUGGAGGUAGGCUGUAUAAGUCUGGUUGGCAACAACUAGCAUGCCCCUCUAUUUUGUACCCUUGUCUAUUUGCGCACUCAUGUUUCCUCGGUGGGCUUGCCCGCCGAUUGGACAACCUUAAAACCUUUUUAAUUGUUAAAUCAGCGUCUGAAAUAAACUUAAUAAUUACAA
Molecule: unclassified non-coding RNA, 223 nt
Filed under: plant metagenome
Description: partial contains small subunit ribosomal RNA and internal transcribed spacer 1
Rfam family: Eukaryotic small subunit ribosomal RNA (bases 1-46)
Source: RNAcentral